This 343-nucleotide ribosomal RNA is filed under the name uncultured bacterium. RNAcentral's name for it is "bacterial SSU rRNA". It matches the Rfam family "Bacterial small subunit ribosomal RNA", at positions 28 to 359 of the family's 1533-position model. The record is from RNAcentral.
GAUGAACGCUAGCUACAGGCUUAACACAUGCAAGUCGAGGGGAAACGAUAGAGGAAGCUUGCUUCCUUUGGGCGUCGACCGGCGCACGGGUGAGUAACGCGUAUCCAACCUUCCCGCAAGUAAGGGAUAACCCGUAGAAAUGCGGCCUAAUACCUUACGUUUCCCUUAGAGGGCAUCUGAUGAGGAACAAAGAUCCGUCGCUUGCGGAUGGGGAUGCGUCUGAUUAGUUAGUCGGCGGGGUAACGGCCCACCGAGACGACGGUCAGUAGGGGUUCUGAGAGGAAAAGUCCCCCACAUUGGAACUGAGACACGGUCCAAACUCCUACGGGAGGCAGCAGUGAGG